Molecule: long non-coding RNA, 691 nt
Organism: Nematolebias whitei (Rio pearlfish)
Lineage: Eukaryota; Metazoa; Chordata; Actinopteri; Cyprinodontiformes; Rivulidae
Exons: 2
Source: RefSeq, a predicted model, not a curated record
GGACUCUACAUCGGCUGGUGCUCUGCCGUGCUCGCCAUCGCUGGAGGAGUCUGCCUCAGCUGCUCCUGCAAAAUGGCCAAAAAAGAGAAAUAUCCCGUGACAUAUCAAUCCAGGGGGACGGCGUACUCUGGAGCCGCACCGAGCAGGAGCGCUGCCACCAGCACUUAUGGACGAAACGCUUACGUCUGAGCGCCGUUCGAUAUUUAUGACGCUGUCAUCACCUCAGUUUGUGUUGGGGUAUCCUUUACACUGAGCGUUUUGUUCACAGUUGUGGAUACUUUAAUGGUGCAUCAGUUGUUUACUGUUGGAAGUGACCCAGCACCGCUGCACUGCAAAUACAUGCGUCAGGAUGGGAUGAUUGAAAUGACAGAUACUGUAAACUUUGUACAAAGCUUCCCUGCUCGUCGCCGCACGAAAAGACAGACCUUUUUUAUUGAUUUGGUUUGUUUUUAUUUGUAUCUUUUUGCGUGGCUCAAUUACAUGAAGUCACACGUUUUCAAAGAAAUUCAAAGAUAAAGAUCAUAAACACAGACAGACGUUUUUGAAGUCAAAAGAGGAACAGUUCAGAUAUUAUUUGUGUGAUAUUUUGUACAGUUUGUAAAGCAUGUAUUAGAGAAAGGAGGACGGGUUGUUUUUGUUUAAAUUGUAAUUCUUUGUACUACUGAACUCAAUAAAUGGACAUUGAAUGCUG